Molecule: ribosomal RNA, 468 nt
Filed under: uncultured bacterium
Lineage: Bacteria
Description: partial 16S ribosomal RNA
Rfam family: Bacterial small subunit ribosomal RNA
Source: RNAcentral
GACGAACGCUGGCGGCGUGCUUAACACAUGCAAGUCGAACGGAAAGGCCCUGCUUUUGUGGGGUGCUCGAGUGGCGAACGGGUGAGUAACACGUGAGUAACCUGCCCUUGACUUUGGGAUAACUUCAGGAAACUGGGGCUAAUACCGGAUAGGAGCUCCUGCUGCAUGGUGGGGGUUGGAAAGUUUCGGCGGUUGGGGAUGGACUCGCGGCUUAUCAGCUUGUUGGUGGGGUAGUGGCUUACCAAGGCUUUGACGGGUAGCCGGCCUGAGAGGGUGACCGGCCACAUUGGGACUGAGAUACGGCCCAGACUCCUACUGGAGGCAGCAGUGGGGAAUAUUGCACAAUGGGCGGAAGCCUGAUGCAGCAACGCCGCGUGCGGGAUGACGGCCUUCGGGUUGUAAACCGCCUUCGCCUGUGACGAAGCGUGAGUGACGGUAAUGGGUAAAGAAGCACCGGCUAACUACGUG